Molecule: ribosomal RNA, 562 nt
Filed under: uncultured bacterium
Lineage: Bacteria
Description: partial 16S ribosomal RNA
Rfam family: Bacterial small subunit ribosomal RNA
Source: RNAcentral
UGGGGAAUUUUGGACAAUGGGCGAAAGCCUGAUCCAGCAAUGCCGCGUGUGUGAAGAAGGCCUUCGGGUUGUAAAGCACUUUUGUCCGGAAAGAAAUCCUUGGCUCUAAUACAGUCGGGGGAUGACGGUACCGGAAGAAUAAGCACCGGCUAACUACGUGCCAGCAGCCGCGGUAAUACGUAGGGUGCAAGCGUUAAUCGGAAUUACUGGGCGUAAAGCGUGCGCAGGCGGUUUGCUAAGACCGAUGUGAAAUCCCCGGGCUCAACCUGGGAACUGCAUUGGUGACUGGCAGGCUAGAGUAUGGCAGAGGGGGGUAGAAUUCCACGUGUAGCAGUGAAAUGCGUAGAGAUGUGGAGGAAUACCGAUGGCGAAGGCAGCCCCCUGGGCCAAUACUGACGCUCAUGCACGAAAGCGUGGGGAGCAAACAGGAUUAGAUACCCUGGUAGUCCACGCCCUAAACGAUGUCAACUAGUUGUUGGGGACUUCAUUUCCUUAGUAACGUAGCUAACGCGUGAAGUUGACCGCCUGGGGAGUACGGUCGCAAGAUUAAAACUCAAAUGAA